UUAAGCGACUAAGCGUACACGGUGGAUGCCCUGGCAGUCAGAGGCGAUGAAGGGCGUGCUAAUCUGCGAUAAGCGCCGGUAAGGUGAUAUGAACCGUUAUAACCGGCGAUACCCGAAUGGGGAAACCCAGUGUGAUUCGUCACACUAUCAUUAACUGAAUCCAUAGGUUAAUGAGGCGAACCGGGGGAACUGAAACAUCUAAGUACCCCGAGGAAAAGAAAUCAACCGAGAUUCCCCCAGUAGCGGCGAGCGAACGGGGAGGAGCCCAGAGCCUGAAUCAGCAUGUGUGUUAGUGGAAGCGUCUGGAAAGGCGCGCGAUACAGGGUGACAGCCCCGUACACAAAAGCGCAUGUGCUGUGAGCUCGAUGAGUAGGGCGGGACACGUGGUAUCCUGUCUGAAUAUGGGGGGACCAUCCUCCAAGGCUAAAUACUCCUGACUGACCGAUAGUGAACCAGUACCGUGAGGGAAAGGCGAAAAGAACCCCGGCGAGGGGAGUGAAAAAGAACCUGAAACCGUGUACGUACAAGCAGUGGGAGCACAGGUUUACCUGUGUGACUGCGUACCUUUUGUAUAAUGGGUCAGCGACUUAUAUUCUGUAGCAAGGUUAACCGUAUAGGGGAGCCGGAGGGAAACCGAGUCUUAAUUGGGCGUUAAGUUGCAGGGUAUAGACCCGAAACCCGGUGAUCUAGCCAUGGGCAGGUUGAAGGUUGGGUAACACUAACUGGAGGACCGAACCGACUAAUGUUGAAAAAUUAGCGGAUGACCUGUGGCUGGGGGUGAAAGGCCAAUCAAACCGGGAGAUAGCUGGUUCUCCCCGAAAGCUAUUUAGGUAGCGCCUCGUGAAUUCAUCUCCGGGGGUAGAGCACUGUUUCGGCUAGGGGGCCAUCCCGGCUUACCAACCCGAUGCAAACUGCGAAUACCGGAGAAUGUUAUCACGGGAGACACACGGCGGGUGCUAACGUCCGUCGUGAAGAGGGAAACAACCCAGACCGCCAGCUAAGGUCCCAAAGUCAUGGUUAAGUGGGAAACGAUGUGGGAAGGCCCAGACAGCCAGGAUGUUGGCUUAGAAGCAGCCAUCAUUUAAAGAAAGCGUAAUAGCUCACUGGUCGAGUCGGCCUGCGCGGAAGAUGUAACGGGGCUAAACCAUGCACCGAAGCUGCGGCAGCGAACGUAUCACCCAAGACAACUUUACGGAGUUGACGAUUGACGGAGCGAAGCGACGUCAAAGCGUUCAUUAAAGUCGAGUUGGCUUAGGGAUACGUUCGUUGGGUAGGGGAGCGUUCUGUAAGCCUGUGAAGGUGUGUCGUGAGGCAUGCUGGAGGUAUCAGAAGUGCGAAUGCUGACAUAAGUAACGAUAAAGCGGGUGAAAAGCCCGCUCGCCGGAAGACCAAGGGUUCCUGUCCAACGUUAAUCGGGGCAGGGUGAGUCGACCCCUAAGGCGAGGCCGAAAGGCGUAGUCGAUGGGAAACGGGUUAAUAUUCCCGUACUUGGUGUUACUGCGAAGGGGGACGGAGAAGGCUAUGUUGGCCGGGCGACGGUUGUCCCGGUUUAAGCGUGUAGGUGUGUGUUCCAGGUAAAUCCGGUUCACUUUAACACUGAGGCGUGACGACGAGGCACUACGGUGCUGAAGCAACAAAUGCCCUGCUUCCAGGAAAAGCCUCUAAGCAUCAGGUAACAUCAAAUCGUACCCCAAACCGACACAGGUGGUCAGGUAGAGAAUACCAAGGCGCUUGAGAGAACUCGGGUGAAGGAACUAGGCAAAAUGGUGCCGUAACUUCGGGAGAAGGCACGCUGACACGUAGGUGAAGUGAUUUACUCAUGGAGCUGAAGUCAGUCGAAGAUACCAGCUGGCUGCAACUGUUUAUUAAAAACACAGCACUGUGCAAACACGAAAGUGGACGUAUACGGUGUGACGCCUGCCCGGUGCCGGAAGGUUAAUUGAUGGGGUCAGCGUAAGCGAAGCUCCUGAUCGAAGCCCCGGUAAACGGCGGCCGUAACUAUAACGGUCCUAAGGUAGCGAAAUUCCUUGUCGGGUAAGUUCCGACCUGCACGAAUGGCGUAAUGAUGGCCAGGCUGUCUCCACCCGAGACUCAGUGAAAUUGAACUCGCUGUGAAGAUGCAGUGUACCCGCGGCAAGACGGAAAGACCCCGUGAACCUUUACUAUAGCUUGACACUGAACAUUGAGCCUUGAUGUGUAGGAUAGGUGGGAGGCUUUGAAGUGUGGACGCCAGUCUGCAUGGAGCCGACCUUGAAAUACCACCCUUUAAUGUUUGAUGUUCUAACGUGGACCCGUAAUCCGGGUUGCGGACAGUGUCUGGUGGGUAGUUUGACUGGGGCGGUCUCCUCCUAAAGAGUAACGGAGGAGCACGAAGGUUGGCUAAUCCUGGUCGGACAUCAGGAGGUUAGUGCAAUGGCAUAAGCCAGCUUGACUGCGAGCGUGACGGCGCGAGCAGGUGCGAAAGCAGGUCAUAGUGAUCCGGUGGUUCUGAAUGGAAGGGCCAUCGCUCAACGGAUAAAAGGUACUCCGGGGAUAACAGGCUGAUACCGCCCAAGAGUUCAUAUCGACGGCGGUGUUUGGCACCUCGAUGUCGGCUCAUCACAUCCUGGGGCUGAAGUAGGUCCCAAGGGUAUGGCUGUUCGCCAUUUAAAGUGGUACGCGAGCUGGGUUUAGAACGUCGUGAGACAGUUCGGUCCCUAUCUGCCGUGGGCGCUGGAGAACUGAGGGGGGCUGCUCCUAGUACGAGAGGACCGGAGUGGACGCAUCACUGGUGUUCGGGUUGUCAUGCCAAUGGCACUGCCCGGUAGCUAAAUGCGGAAGAGAUAAGUGCUGAAAGCAUCUAAGCACGAAACUUGCCCCGAGAUGAGUUCUCCCUGAGACUUAGAGUCUCCUGAAGGAACGUUGAAGACGACGACGUUGAUAGGCCGGGUGUGUAAGCGCAGCGAUGCGUUGAGCUAACCGGUACUAAUGAACCGUGAGGCUUAACCU
Molecule: ribosomal RNA, 2988 nt
Filed under: Salmonella enterica subsp. enterica serovar Typhimurium
Lineage: Bacteria; Pseudomonadati; Pseudomonadota; Gammaproteobacteria; Enterobacterales; Enterobacteriaceae
Description: bacterial LSU rRNA
Rfam family: Bacterial large subunit ribosomal RNA
Source: RNAcentral